UACAGAGGAGCCAAGCGUUGUCCGGAUUGACUGGGCGUAAAGCGCACGCAGGCGGUUGCGCGCGUGGGGUGUGAAAUCUGGCCGCUUAACGGCCAGGCGCCAUCCCAUACGGCGCGACUGGAGUGAUGCAGAGGUCGAUGGAAUUGCCGGUGUAGCGGUGAAAUGCGUAGUGAUCGGCAGGAACACCCAGGGGGAAACCAGUCGACUGGGCAUCUACUGACGCUGAGGUGCGAGAGCGUGGGGAGCGAACCGG
Molecule: ribosomal RNA, 253 nt
Filed under: uncultured bacterium
Lineage: Bacteria
Description: partial 16S ribosomal RNA
Rfam family: Bacterial small subunit ribosomal RNA
Source: RNAcentral